This 253-nucleotide ribosomal RNA is filed under the name uncultured bacterium. RNAcentral's name for it is "partial 16S ribosomal RNA". It matches the Rfam family "Bacterial small subunit ribosomal RNA", at positions 524 to 776 of the family's 1533-position model. The record is from RNAcentral.
UACGUAGGGUGCAAGCGUUGUCCGGAAUUAUUGGGCGUAAAGAGCUCGUAGGCGGUCUGUCACGUCGGCUGUGAAAACCUGGGGCUCAACUCCGGGCCUGCAGCCGAUACGGGCAGACUAGAGUUCGGCAGGGGAGACUGGAAUUCCUGGUGUAGCGGUGAAAUGCGCAGAUAUCAGGAGGAACACCGAUGGCGAAGGCAGGUCUCUGGGCAUUAACUGACGCUGAGGAGCGAAAGCAUGGGGAGCGAACAGG